AUAGGCACCUGGUGAUGUUUUGAGGUGUGCUGUGCAGAGCCAGGAGUGGGACUCAGAGAUCCUUAUGGAUCCCUCCUAACUCGGGAAAUUCCGUGAUUCUGGGUGCUUUACACCACAAACGGGAAAGACGUGGGGAAAAGCUUAUCCCAGACUUCCACACCAAACAGCCUUUUGCGGAGGGAAACGGCCAGGAAAAUCUUGUGGAAGCAUCCCUGUCGCCCCGCUCUGCCGUAGUGGAAGGAGCCCUCACACAAGGCAAACCAGCGUGGGAUCCCAUGAAACCCUGAAACCUCCCAAACAGACACCGAAGCCAAGGAGAACCAAGUUAAACGGGGGAAAAUCCUGAGCCACAGAGGACGGGCACCCCCAGCGAGGCAGUUAUGGCUCCAGAUUUGUGUAAAAACUUCAAAUAAAAGCCAGAUUU
Vidua chalybeata is the source of this 424-nucleotide long non-coding RNA. RefSeq lists it as uncharacterized. Lineage: Eukaryota; Metazoa; Chordata; Aves; Passeriformes; Viduidae. The record is from RefSeq and is a predicted model, not a curated record. The transcript is spliced from 3 exons.